CAAUACUUUGGUGGCGACCGGCGCACGGGUGCGUAACGCGUAUGCAACCUACCUUUAACAGGGGCAUAACACUGAGAAAUUGGUACUAAUUCCCCAUAACAUUCGAGAAGGCAUCUUCUUGGGUUAAAAACUCCGGUGGUUAAAGAUGGGCAUGCGUUGUAUUAGCUAGUUGGUGAGGUAACGGCUCACCAAGGCAACGAUACAUAGGGGGACUGAGAGGUUAACCCCCACAUUGGUACUGAGACACGGACCAA
Molecule: ribosomal RNA, 254 nt
Filed under: uncultured bacterium
Lineage: Bacteria
Description: partial 16S ribosomal RNA
Rfam family: Bacterial small subunit ribosomal RNA
Source: RNAcentral